AAUCGUGCGCCCCCAAAACCUGAGACCCCCGGUCUUCUCAACUGCAUUUCCUGAAUGUCCAUAAUGAUUAGCGAUUUCUUUGGUCGAUUUUACCCUUUAUUUUGAAUUUCGAACGAUUGCCCUUCCUUCCACAAUUCUAUAAAUACCGAAAUUCUCUCAUUUGUGUUGGAAAUGUGCCCUAAAACCAAUCAUAUGAUGAUACUUUACAGACAUUUCACAUGUUAAACUAAUCUAGUUUAAUAUCAAGGGCAAAGAUUAUUGUUUGAGCCGUCUCAUAUAAAUGUUAUACGUUUAAACGAUAAGUCCAAGGAAUAUGUGAUUGGGAGAAUGCGAUCUAAAGAAGUUAGAUUCAUGAGACCAUUCUUUCGUAGACACAUCCUAAACGUUCCUGAUCAUAGGAUUGCCAAUUGGGCAUUGACAGUCCGUUAAGAUCAGUACGUGCUGUGUCUUCUCUCAGGGAGAGUGACUAGUCUCGAGUCAUUGUUGUGUGUGACAUCAAGACAAGCAUGUAGGUGCUCAAUAGCGAAUGAGUUCACUGAACACGAUCAACGAAGAGUUCUCAUACUCAUGUCACAUGAGAACUCAUGGUUGGGAUAAUGCAAAGUAGUCAUUUGACCUGAGGCAUCACAGUGGUCUUGUGGUUAGGUACUUGAUCUUUGAUUAUGUUAAAGUCACCCCAUCCGCGGGUGUCCACGACAUCGUCGGGGUUAAGCCACUUAGCCAUGGAAGCAAGUGAAUGCGCAACAAGGGAUCUCUAACCUUCAAACCGUUUGGGGGAGAAUACUCUAUGAUAUGAUUAAGAAUCUCUGGCCAGAGUAUGAAUGAGAUUUAGGAAGUCGUUCCAAAUCACAUUCAAGGUAAUCAUGUAAGCACACGAAUCACAUUGGAUAGUAGACAUGAAUAAACUAUCAAACCAAACAAUGUGGUCAAGAGUACUGUAUUAGAGAAAGACCGUAUUGCAUUUGUAAUUCUAAACUGAAUAGGUUCUCCACCUCUUCUGAUUAGCUUGGGUAAC
Molecule: long non-coding RNA, 1015 nt
Filed under: Malus domestica (apple)
Lineage: Eukaryota; Viridiplantae; Streptophyta; Magnoliopsida; Rosales; Rosaceae
Description: long non-coding RNA (MDOM_LNC008520)
Source: RNAcentral